GUUGAACGCUGGCGGCAGGCUUAACACAUGCAAGUAGAGCGCGCGGCGGACGGGUGAGUAAUGUCUGGGAAACUGCCUGCUGGAGGGGGAUAACUACUGGCAACGGUAGCUAAUACCGCAUACCAUCAGAUGUGCCCAGAUUGGAUUAGCUAGUAGGUGUGGUAAUGGCUCACCUAGGCGACGAUCCCUAGCUGGUCUGAGAGGAUGAAGAGCCACACUGGAACGGAGACACGGUCCAGACUCCUACGGGAGGCAGCAGUGGGGAAUAUGGCACAAUGGGCGCAAGCCGGAUGCAGCCAGGCCGCGGGUGUGAAGAAGGCCUUCGGGUUGUAAAGCACUUUCAGCGAGGAGGCGUUACUCGCAGAAGAAGCACCGGCUAACUACGUGCCAGCAGCCGCGGUAAUUC
RNAcentral lists this ribosomal RNA (406 nucleotides) under uncultured bacterium. Its description in RNAcentral is "partial 16S ribosomal RNA". It matches the Rfam family "Bacterial small subunit ribosomal RNA", at positions 28 to 526 of the family's 1533-position model. The record is from RNAcentral.